This is a long non-coding RNA of Passer domesticus (house sparrow), 2250 nucleotides long. RefSeq lists it as uncharacterized. Lineage: Eukaryota; Metazoa; Chordata; Aves; Passeriformes; Passeridae. The record is from RefSeq and is a predicted model, not a curated record. The transcript has 4 exons.
CGGGUGCCGGGAGGGCCCGGAGUGCUGCGGGCCGGCCCCGGGCGCGGAGCCGCCGGCGCGGCCUGUGCGGGCAGAAGUGCCCAGCGCUGGGCUGUGCGGCGCUCCAGGGAUGGCGGGCUCCUCCCGUCGUGUGCUAGGCCGACAGAAGGGUUUUUAAAAACCAGAAUCACACAGAAUCCCAGAAUCGUGAGGCUUGGAAGGGACCUCUGGAGAUCAUCUGCUCCAGCCGUUCUGCCAAGCAGGGUCGCCUGGAGCAGGUGACAGAGGAACGCGUCCAAAUGGGUUUUGAAUGUCUCCAGAGAGGGAGACUCCAUGACCUCUCUGGGCAGCCUGUUCCAGUGCUCUGCCAUACUCAAUGUGAAGUUCUUCCUCAUGUAGAGGUGAAACUUCCUGCAUUUUAUUUUGUGGCCGUUGCUCCUCGUCCUGUCACUAAGCACCACAAAAAAAGAGCCUGAUGCCAUCCUCUUGGCACUCUCCUUUGAGACGUUUUUAUGUAUUGAUGGGAUCCCCUCUCAGUUUUUCUCAGCUGAACAGGCCCAGCUCCCAGUCUCUCCUCAUAAGAGAGAUGCUCGGUCUUUGUGGCCUCUGCUGAACCCUCUGCAGUAGCUCCAUGUCUUUCUUGUGAUGAGGAACCCAGAACUGGACACAGCCCAGAACAGGGAUGAGCAAGACCUGCAUUUCCAAGGGUUUUCAAAAAGAGGCCAGUUUUUUGGGUUUUUUUAUCAGUGCACAGUCAGAGGCCAAAGUCUGAGCAGCACUGCAUGCCCUGCCUUCAGGAAGCCUCCAGAGGCAGUUCUGCUGAGGCAUGAUCUUCUGACUCAGUGAAGACAAGAGGUUGUCUUCAGCCGGGCUGGCACAGAGGUCUGAUGCAGACGCUGUGAGUGGUGGCUGACUACAACAGAGUUGCUGACACAGGCCACACAAUCAUGCAAGAUACCCAAAUUAUACACUCAGUAAUUAAGUCAAAAAUGCUAAAGUCUCUAGUAUUGCUCGUAUGUCCAGCUUCCUUGAUGCCUUAGUUUUGUUAAUGUGAAACAGCAGAUCAGUCAUGGAGCCCAGGAAGAAAGUCAGGACUGACUGCAGCAAAAUGUACUUUAAGUCAGCUGCCGAAUCCUAUCUGCUACUCCAGUGGAUCUGGAAGAUAAUCAAUGAAGACCACAGACUGACCUACAGAGAAGGAAAGCUCUGGUGAGACCCCACAUGCAGUGCUGCAUCCAGCUCUGCGGUCUCCAGCGUAGGAAGGAUCUGUUGCAGCAGAGGCCACCAAGAUGACAAGAGGGAUGGAGCACCUCACCCAUGGGGAAAGGUUGAGAGAAUUGAGAUUGUUCAGCCUGGAGAAGAAAAGGCUUUAGAGUGACUUAACUGUGGAUUUCCAGUAUCUGAAGGAAGUCUACAGGAAAGAUGGAGAGGGACUUUUUACAAGGGUGUGUAGUGACAGGACAAGGGGGGAUGGAUUCAAACUGAAAAAAAUAUUAAGUUUAGAUAAGAGAUUAAGAAGAAUUUUUUCCCUUUGAGGGUGCUGAGGCACUGGAACAGGUUGUCCAGAGAAGUUGAGGCUUCCCCAUCCCUGGAAAUGUUCAAAGUCAGGCUGGGUGGGGAUCUAAGCAAUCUGGUCUGGUGAAGUGUGUCUCUGCCCAUGGCCAGGGAGUUGUAACUAGAUGAUCUUGAAUCUCUUCCAACACCAGCCAUUCUGUGAUUCUGUGAUAAAAAUCAUAAGCAAUACUUAUAAAAACAAAUAAAUUACUAAUGUUUAUGAUGCCUAUCACUGAAAAAUGGUGUAACUAAGAGCUAGUGACAGAUUCUCACUUGUCACCUUUUGGAGCUUGAUACAGUAUUUAGUAAGUGGAAUUUAACAGUCCAUGCUGUGUAAAUGUGAGAGGACAGGAACUUGGCAUUCCCUUCUGGAGCUCAGUCAUGUCGAUGCAGGUCAAUAAAUUAUCUGUCAGAUGUAAUGGCUGUUGUAAUGAAACCUAGCAAACACAGGAGGGCUCUAUGUGAACACAUAUUAAGAACUGUUUAGGUUGGUGCCAGACAGGAGUGGUAUGUUCUGGUGUUACAUAACCUUAAGUUAAUUUGCAAUGUAUUUUAAAGUAGUAAAAGAUUUUGCUGGAAAUUGCCAUCUUGUUUUGGGUAUGUAUGGGUUUAUAUCUAAGCAUUGUCUCUGUGAUGGAGCAUAAAAAUAUGAAAAUAAGUCCUAUAAACUCCAGCUGAAGGGGACUAUUAUGAAACAAAUAAAAUUCCCAAUUUUGA